This 1204-nucleotide long non-coding RNA is filed under the name Mus pahari (shrew mouse). RNAcentral's name for it is "lncRNA (MGP_PahariEiJ_G0005733.1)". The record is from RNAcentral. Lineage: Eukaryota; Metazoa; Chordata; Mammalia; Rodentia; Muridae.
ACUGGUGUUGAGAGCUCAGAGCUUGCUACAGGGCUACAGUGCUCCGAAGCCCUUCACGAUUAACUCUGGAUACAACUGUUUCGAGCCUGCCAGCAAUUAGAAAACUUUCUCUCUCACGGACAAAUCAUGACUGGAAUUCAUCAUGGAGAAAAUGUCAGCCACAUAGAAGAAGCACUUAGAAUGUUUGAGCACGGUCAUGAAAUAGUCACCGCUACGUCAGCGACGCACAUGAGGCAGAAUCUAGCUGUGUUCUUGUGGACAGGCUCUCUCAUCCUGGACUGGAUAAUCACAUGGCAGGGCUGUGCUUCACUCUCACUGGAGAUUGAGUUGCAUCAAUAGGUUAUAAUUUAGGAUGUGUAAGAAUCGCCUAGAACACUGCUGGCAACUUCUCUAGGGCUCUGGAUCACACAGGAAGGGUUGAGAAACAACUAAAAGCCAAGGACCCUUAACAGACGUGGGAGCUCCAAGAAAAGGAAAAAAAAAAAAAUUCACAAAAAUGUACUGCCAAGCGAAAAGCUGGAAAGAAUGAAUUUAAACUUGACUCUUUAAAGUUGGGGAGGAAAACAAAUGACAGGGAACUUUGAAACACUUAUCUUCAUUUGCACAGAGAAAUUUUCUUACACACGUGGAUUUUCUGGCUUCAGUGUUUGUCCAGUACUCACAGAGUUAAAUCUUAACUUUUCCUAUAUAUGAGUAAUGCAUUAAGAAGAACAGGGCACAGGAAGUCUCUUUAAGAAACAAGAAAUGUUUCUCUGUAAAUUAUUCAUCAUCAACAUAUUGGAGCUACUGAGGGAAUAUCCAAAUAUGUAAACAAAACGAGGAAAGUGUCCAGCUCCAAGUGGUCCUUGGGUAAUAAGACCACAUUGAAUGAGUACUUAGAAUGUGUUGCCUAUGCUCUGCUAUUCGUUUCUCUUUUAAGUUAGAGACUAGACCAGAUGGAACUAUGUGUUAAUUGGUGUAUUUCUGCUCAUUGGAGAAAACAAUAUCCAGCAGUAUUGUUGGACUCCUUACAUAGUAUUAUAAACUAUUUUAACCUAUUUUAAAGACAAUAGUGGUACUAUCAAGUAUUUUGCCCAUUUUUUAAAUCAAAAAUCUAAAUAUAUCCUGACAUUUAUUUUUACCAAACCGUUUUGAAGCUAAUCUUACCAUCUUAUUCCCUUACUUGUCCAAAAGUUCAAUAAAAUUUUUGAUGAGUUUUCAUCUU